Molecule: ribosomal RNA, 278 nt
Filed under: uncultured bacterium
Lineage: Bacteria
Description: partial 16S ribosomal RNA
Rfam family: Bacterial small subunit ribosomal RNA
Source: RNAcentral
AAUGAACGCUGGCGGCAGGCCUAACACAUGCAAGUCGAACGGAUCCUUCGGGAUUAGUGGCGGACGGGUGAGUAACGCGUGGGAACAUACCCAAAGGUACGGAAUAGCCUCGGGAAACUGGGAGUAAUACCGUAUGUGCCCUUCGGGGGAAAGAUUUAUCGCCUUUGGAUUGGCCCGCGUUGGAUUAGGUAGUUGGUGGGGUAAUGGCCUACCAAGCCGACGAUCCAUAGCUGGUUUGAGAGGAUGAUCAGCCACACUGGGACUGAGACACGGCCCAG